This 574-nucleotide ribosomal RNA is filed under the name Aureobasidium namibiae. Its description in RNAcentral is "eukaryotic LSU rRNA". It matches the Rfam family "Eukaryotic large subunit ribosomal RNA", at positions 66 to 660 of the family's 3401-position model. Lineage: Eukaryota; Fungi; Ascomycota; Dothideomycetes; Dothideales; Saccotheciaceae. The record is from RNAcentral.
CCACUUGCAUGCACAGUACGGCGAGUGAGCGGCAACAGCUCAAUUUGAAAGCUAGCCUUCGGGUUCGCAUUGUAAUUUGUAGAGGAUGCUUUGGGUAAAACGCCAGUCUAAGUUCCUUGGAACAGGACGUCAUAGAGGGUGAGAAUCCCGUAUGUGACUGGAAAUGUUAACCUAUGUAAAGCUCCUUCGACGAGUCGAGUUGUUUGGGAAUGCAGCUCUAAAUGGGAGGUAAAUUUCUUCUAAAGCUAAAUAUUGGCGAGAGACCGAUAGCGCACAAGUAGAGUGAUCGAAAGAUGAAAAGCACUUUGGAAAGAGAGUUAAAAAGCACGUGAAAUUGUUGAAAGGGAAGCGCUUGCAAUCAGACUUGUUUAAACUGUUCGGCCGGUCUUCUGACCGGUUUACUCAGUUUGGACAGGCCAGCAUCAGUUUCGGCGGCCGGAUAAAGGCUCUGGGAAUGUGGCCUCCACUUCGGUGGAGGUGUUAUAGCCCAGUGUGUAAUACGGCCAGCCGGGACUGAGGUCCGCGCUUCGGCUAGGAUGCUGGCGUAAUGGUUGUAAGCGACCCGUCUUGAACC